AGAGUUUGAUCCUGGCUCAGGAUGAACGCUAGCUACAGGCUUAACACAUGCAAGUCGAGGGGCAGCAUGGUCUUAGCUUGCUAAGACUGAUGGCGACCGGCGCACGGGUGAGUAACGCGUAUCCAACCUUCCCCUUAGUAGGGCAUAGCCCGUAGAAAUGCGGAUUAAUACCCUAUGUUGUAUAUUGAGGACAUCUGAUUUAUACCAAAGGUUCACCGCUAAGGGAUGGGGAUGCGUCUGAUUAGGUAGUCGGCGGGGUAACGGCCCACCGAGCCUACGAUCAGUAGGGGUUCUGAGAGGAAGGUCCCCCACAUUGGAACUGAGCCAUGAUCAAACUC
This 338-nucleotide ribosomal RNA is filed under the name uncultured Prevotella sp. RNAcentral's name for it is "bacterial SSU rRNA". It matches the Rfam family "Bacterial small subunit ribosomal RNA", at positions 8 to 338 of the family's 1533-position model. The record is from RNAcentral. Lineage: Bacteria; Pseudomonadati; Bacteroidota; Bacteroidia; Bacteroidales; Prevotellaceae.